This 499-nucleotide ribosomal RNA is filed under the name uncultured bacterium. RNAcentral describes it as "partial 16S ribosomal RNA". It matches the Rfam family "Bacterial small subunit ribosomal RNA", at positions 28 to 507 of the family's 1533-position model. The record is from RNAcentral.
GACGAACGCUGGCGGCGUGCCUAAUACAUGCAAGUCGAGCGGACUGAAUGGGAGCUUGCUCUUGUUCGGUCAGCGGCGGACGGGUCAGUAACACGUGGGCAACCUGCCCGCAAGACCGGGAUAACUCCGGGAAACCGGAGCUAAUACCGGAUAACACCGAAGACCGCAUGGUCUUUGGUUGAAAGGCGGCGCAAGCUGCCACUUGCGGAUGGGCCCGCGGCGCAUUAGCUAGUUGGUGAGGUAACGGCUCACCAAGGCGACGAUGCGUAGCCGGCCUGAGAGGGUGCCCGGCCACACUGGGACUGAGACACGGCCCAGACUCCUACGGGAGGCAGCAGUAGGGAAUCUUCCGCAAUGGGCGAAAGCCUGACGGAGCGACGCCGCGUGAGCGAAGAAGGCCUUCGGGUCGUAAAGCUCUGUUGUGAGGGACGAAGGAGCGCCGUUUGAAGAAGGCGGCGCGGUGACGGUACCUCACGAGGAAGCCCCGGCUAACUACGUG